This is a long non-coding RNA of Mus musculus (house mouse), 1252 nucleotides long. RefSeq annotates it as predicted gene, 31155. The record is from RefSeq and is a predicted model, not a curated record. NCBI's taxonomy places the organism in Eukaryota, Metazoa, Chordata, Mammalia, Rodentia, Muridae. The transcript is spliced from 3 exons.
CAGGCCUGAGGCAGAAGUCUGUUUUAAAGACUGUGACCGCCAGCAGUGAGCCCUGGGAAAGGGCAGAGAUUCACAGAGGAAAGCAGGUCGUUGUGGCGAUUGCAAUUUCUUGGAUCAACAUUGCUCUAAAGGAAGCUGACAGGAAAGGAAAAGAGGAGCCUAGAAACCCUGAGAUGUAAGAACCUGAGAGACUUGGUGACAAAUUGGAUGAAGGAUGUUCACAGGUUGUGCUGCAUGCUACAGCUUGGAGGAAGAGGAGCUCCCAAGGCUAGAGCAGGACACUCUUCAAGCCCUGGUUUUGGGGACUUAGAUUUGCAGCUGGAAGCUAAAUCCUACAGCUCUUGACAUUCUUUCCUGCUGAGCCCAAGAGCCUAGGCCUGUGCUGGCACACCAUCCCCUCUGAGGGCCAAUAGCAACGGAGCCAUCCCUGACGCCCCCCCCCCACUGCCCUUGGGGGUGAGGUUCCUUCAGCCUCCCUCAGAUGCUGCAACUGGCUGCCAAGUCUGGCUAGUGUGCACACGGGUGGCAGAGGGCCCAGAUAUCCCCUGCUUUGCUCCCUCAGGCUGCCGCUGUUCCCUGGGGCCCAAUUAAGCCAGUGCUUUGUCCCUGGGCAGCAGAGGCGGGUGUCCCUGGCACUCUUCGGCUCCACACUCCAUCUCUUCAUCAGCUGUCGCCAGACAGCCCACAUAAUGUGGGGAUUUCAUGCUCAAUAUUCUUGAUGAAAGUGGAACAUCAAAACCUCAGCGGGGUGGACACAUGGAGACUAAGUGAGGCUCUCGCCCAAGGAGCUAUCAUCUCAGCAAAAGAAUCAGAAAAGCUCCUUUAUCAGGCGGCCACGAACUCUUCUCAUCAUUAGUGCUGUUGUUGUUAUUGGCUUCCCUGCAUCUGGGUAGAAAUAAUGUUAUAUCCCUUGCUUUUGCACAUGUGUGUCUGUGUGUGGAAUCUCUUGGCUGAUAGCAAUCUCUGCCUCUUGUCAUACUAAAUAUUGAUCGGCACUGUUGGGAGACUCCAAGGCUUUAAUCUUCUGGCUGCCGCUCCCUGAACGCUGAUGUGGGUGUUGGGUUGGGGAGGAAGAUCAUAUUAUUUCUUCACACACCUGUUUUGCCACUUGCUUCACUCCUGCACAACACUUGGGCUAUUAAUGCCACGGGAAGUCGGCUUUCCUGUAAUGUCACUUUCUCUCUUCACUUUUCCUGGUGUGCCAGCCCCAGGCAGUCACCACCCACGCAGUGCCUUAGGCCCCAGGCAAAGG